Hippocampus comes (tiger tail seahorse) is the source of this 1182-nucleotide long non-coding RNA. RefSeq lists it as uncharacterized. The transcript is spliced from 3 exons. The record is from RefSeq and is a predicted model, not a curated record. Lineage: Eukaryota; Metazoa; Chordata; Actinopteri; Syngnathiformes; Syngnathidae.
CACGCAUUGACUUGAUUUGUGACAAGCCAUCACACACUCUUUGUUGCCAUGUGAAGAAGAAGAAGUCAAGAGAUGAUGACCAUCGAUUGUCACGUUGGUGAUCCUCGCUCUCAUGGGGGUGGUGGUGGUUGCCGGGUUCCAUAACCAGAUAAGCCAGACACCCUCGAUCGUAUAAGUAAAGCAUUUUCUGUUUCCUUUAAGCCACAUAAAACAAGGCAGUUCUACCAAGGUUUUAUUUUCCUCACUGCAUCAACUGAAUCGUCAUUGUACUGCUGCUUCUGGUGUGCUGACUUUGGCCACCGGAGGGCAGUAUAAUACGGUCAUUGAGACAUCCGAACUGCUUUCUCACUGACGGUCAUGCUCGUGCUCGUAUUUUUAGUCUGCGCUCACAGUGAAGCAAAAAAACAAACAAACAAAAAAUCCGUAAAACAAUGACUUAUAUCUUGAAAAAUUCUGAAGUCAGGUCACCCGUAUAACGUGGUACCUUACUGUGUAAUACAGUGACUACCUGGAAUUAAUUUUUAAAGGCAAAAGAGCGUGAGGAUGUCUUUUACAUCUUUGCAAGAUCCAUUCAGCUGAGAGUACCUUGCUUGAGCAAAUGUACUUCCUUCAUGCGUGUGACUGCCCCCCCCCCAACAAUCUCACAUUGUGUUUUGCUCCCUCAGCCACUGCCUGAUUCUGAGGUAGUUUCCAAGUUUUGACUGAGCCAGUUUCCGAGCGCCAUAGGAUGAGUUAGCUCACAUGGAAGCCAGAAGAUCUUGGGUUUCUGGAGAUGGUUUCAGUAACAUGGUUUUGUGCAUUUGCUGUGCUCUGCUUCCUCCAGGUGUCAGAACAUAGGAGAUAGUAUUUGAAAACAGACAGGAGCUUGGAUUUUAAAACAAAUGUAAUUUAUUCUUCACAUGGGUGAUUAGUGUGAUCAUAUUUUUGCAACGCUCAAAAUAUCAUUUGUCAUUUGUUUCUAUUUUUGGUGUUCUGUACAAGGUUAGAUUUGAGGAGUGCCUUGGAUUGCUUUCUUCUGUCAGUCUUGGUCUUAGUGUCGUAUUGGAUUGUAUAAAACCCACCAGGGUUGCUGCAUGAAAAUGUCUUCUUUUUUCUCAUCAAGCUGUUGAAUCAUUGAAUGUCUUUGAAUGAAAUAUAAAAUGAAAAUGUGUUGGACUGUGAAAUGCAGUUGAACUGUUCUUA